GCAGCCCCAAAAAAGCAGCUAUUUUCUGUUAUCCUGGAGUGCCCAAACCAUUAUUUAUUCUAUAUAUUUCUGGAAGGAGGGCUUGGCCAGCCCUGGUGUCGGAGCACCAAGGUUACUUGAUGACUGCGGUAUCCAGUAUGUUUUCACUAUUGUUUGAGAUGUACAUUUACAUAGAAAAUGAAUAACUUUUCCAGAAACUAUGUCAGAUCAAUUUAAUCAGAAACCCAUACUCUUUAUUGUAAAUAAUAUUUACCACGCUGCACGUUCUAGUAGUAGAAGUAGCAGAAAAUUUACCUUUCCUAAACAGACCUUAUAUCAAGUCUUGAAAGAAAAACUCCAGAGUGAAUGAACAAACACUGUUUAAAGGAACACUCUGCUGCCCAAAUAAGCAAAAAAUAAAUAAUUAAACUUAUCAUUUAAAAGCCUCUGAAUUAGUUCACACGUGCAUGCACGCAUUUCUUUUAAAUAUUAUGUUAGUCCAAAAAACAGGUAUCAUUGCAUACAGCAAUACUCUGGUUAUUUUGGCAUCCUGUCUACUGGGCUAAUACAGCUAAUCCAAUCUACAUUUAAAAAAAAAAAAAAAAAAGAAGAUUUCUCCUGUAUUAAAUCUCCAGGUUUUGAUUACGUCUCAUAUGACACCCACUUCAACCAGGAUGCAAGCAUAGGUCUCGCAAAUAUCUGAGAUUAGCUGUGUUAUAGAAUUUUUCCAGCUCAGCUACUUGGGCAUACAAUUUAAAGUUCCCUAGACAGGACAUCAUGGUUCCUGGUUUAGUCUGGGUGUUUGGGUAUAAAACAAAGUUAAGAUUGCUCCUAAAGUAGUCACUGCAGCACAACGCUUUAUCAGCAGAGUGAAUUAUGUAAAGGUUUAUCUGCCAUACAGACAGAAAAAGAUUAAUGAUGGGUUAUAAUUUAGCACUUUCCACGCAUUUAUUAUCAAUAUAUUGGAUGCACUGUGACUGUUAUAUACUUUACGCAAAAUGUUUGUAGAAAGAGAACGCAGAAACCCUUUUAAUAUGUGAAGUAGUGUAUUGAUAACAUUAUGUUUAUUUAAAUAUUCCAAUCUUUGAAAUCUAUAUUUUUAUAUGUAUAAACAUAUGUAUGUAUGCAUAUUGGGCUUUAUAUGAUGACAGAUAUAUGCUGUAGUGAACCACUGUGCAUCUUACUGUAAAACAUUCCAUUUUUAAAAAAACUAUCCGAAAGAUUGUAAUUGUCAGUACGCCCUCUUUAAAUGCUCCCAUAAAAGGAACCUAGAGUUAAAGGACCACUGAUGUCACCCCAACCCCUUCAUCUCAAUGAAAUGGUCAGAGUGCAGCGGUCCUGUCAUUUUAACCCUGCAAAGUAAAGCAUUGUAGUUUUUUUUCUAAAAUGUAAUGUUUACAUGGCAUUAAAAGGGUUAAAUCUAGGAUAAAACACGACGUUCUCACACUGCCGAAAGUCAAGGGAGGUCUAGCCCUGCCAGAUUUUAAGAGAUAUCAUAGGGCCACACACAUCCAAAGGAUGGUGGAGUGGACCAAACAGGGAGUGACAAAACUUUGGAAGGAUGUUGAGUCAGCACAAGUGGAGAAACCGAUAGCGGUCCUCCCCUGGCUGGACCAUCAAAAAGGUAGGCAACUGGCAGCCCCACACCCCCUAAUUAAAGCAACCAUACAGGUGUGGCAAGCAAUGGCUGCACCACUCUCACUUACCACCACACCGCCCCCAAUGCUCCCCCUGGUACAUAAUGAGGCCUUCCCACCGGGAAGGGAACCGAAGACGUUGGUUCAACUACUGAGACAUGAAAUACCAAGGCUCUGCCACGCCAUGGACAACGGCCACAUCAAAACACUAGAGACCAUGACGGGGAACACCACUCACUCAUUCAUGCUACAAUUCAGAUACCGACAACUGAUAGGGUUCACACAGGUGACCACUCAAAACAAUCACACCCUAAGACCUCUAACGGCAUUUGAAGAGAUCUGCAGGGGCCUCUCCACUCUCUACGGCAUGAUCAUGCGGAUGAGGAGACUACCACCCCCAGGCUUCAUGCGGAAAUGGGAAACAGCCCUAUGCACCACAUUCACACCUAACCAAUGGGAGAAAAUAUGCACCCUCUCACUUCACUGCGCACCGUCCAGUGGGACGCAGGAAACAGCAUACAAAAUCCUAGCCCUCUGGUACCGUACCCCGCUUCACACACACACAUACGACCCCACGACGGACUAUACAUGCUGGAGAUGGACAAGACACACGGGUACAUAUCUCCACAUAUGGUGGGAUUGCCCAACUAUCCAACCAUACUGGACGUCCAUCUACACGAUUAUAAAAAGGUUCACAGACACCCCAACACCCAUGAACCCUGCAACAUUUCUCAUCCACCACACCACGACAAAGACAUCAACUUACAAAAAAUCCCUAACAAUCAGAAUACUUAACGUGGCCAAAAGCCUAAUCCCUCUCUACUGUAAAAAACAAAGCGGACCCCCCCCCCAGCGACGUGGUACCAACGCAUGGAGGAGCUGAGAGCACUAGAAGAGCUCUCUCCCUGCUGGCAGAGGGGAAGACACAGACAUUUAUGACGAUCUGAACACAUUGGAUUCUGACUACUGCUCGCGCGGACUUCCAGGACAUGUUGAACUGACUGAGGACAACAGACGAGACAAAGGACUAACAAAACCAAAAAAAAAAAAAAACUUCUACCCCCCCCACCCCUCCUUCACCCCUUCCCCCUGCUCUGUAAUGGCCCACGGGCAGCGAUGCGACACGGUAGAGAGAAUAGGAGGAAGAAGAGAUCUUAGGCGGAUGGGCACCCCUAAAAUGAGAAACAAGAGAGGGGUCCACUGUCAGGCAAAGGAAAGGGGGAGGCAGGGUUAACACACCACCCAUGAAGGUAUAAGAGUCAGCUGGCAGACACGGCCACGACAGAGUAAACAACCACCACUCAUGCCAGAAAAGUAGACAACAACACCACCAACAACGAAGACCUUAGGUCUGAACCUGCAGGACAUAAACACCACCCCACUCGGUAGGGAGCAACACGCUAAUAGUUAUAAAGCAGGAUACGAACCACCCCUGCCACAAUAGGAGACCCAGAAAGGCUAUAGCAACUAAAAACUAAGGGGAAUGGCCUAUUCAAACUUACACACUAUAGGAGUCCAACCGGGAAAAGUUAUUUGUUGUUACUUGGUGACUUGCACACCACCACCGUUGCUCUUUGAAACGUACCAAUGCUGGACCUGCGUGUCCACACCGACGGUUUCAUAUACAAUUGAAAAUAAUGAAUAAAAAGAAAUUCACAAAAGGGUUAAAUCCACCUCUAGUUGCUGUCUUCCUGACUGCCACUUGAGGUGCUUCCACUGCACUGACUAAGUAAGUAAAAGUUGGUCAUGUCACAUGGCAGCUUAUCUUUAAUUCUUUGAGAAACACUGAAUGCUCAUGCAAAUCAAGUCCACAAUGCAUUGUCUCUGCGCUGGAAAAAGGUGAGCACGAAGAUUUUUUUACUUUAUUUUAUUUUUAUAUUUUUACUGCAAGCGGGGGCUGGAAAUGACUAGGGACAGAGGCACCUGUAAUUUCUACAGGUUUGCAUUUCUAAUGCUACAGUGUUCCUUUAAAUGACCUUUACACUGAUUUUGAUCUAUAUUUUAUUGCAUUGCAUUUAUGUUUUGCACUGCUUAGGAUUCUCAAUGAAUUGUCAGCUUGAACUUUCUAAAUGGGCACAAAUGUCUUAGGAACAGUAUAGUGUUUCAGCAACUGUCUAAAAAUAACCAGGUGUGAUGCAGUUAUAUAGCUUUCAUUAGAAGGCUUUAUAAAUGAUCACUUCUUUAUGCAAAGGUGGGAGCAAAGGUUUAUAAAUGAAUUCUGUCAAAGCAUAAGAUAUACACUUAUAAAUCUUGCUAGUUCAGUAAAGUAAAACGGCAUAGCAGACAGUGAAAAUCAACUUAAUGUUUAUUAAAUGAGAAUGUUACAGCUGAAUUUGAAUAAUUUCAUAUACUCUAUAAAUCUAGACCACCACUCGGGAGCCGCCGUAGUCUUCCAGACAGUCUUCUUCUGAAGCGCCAGGAGCUGAUGUCACUGCUGUACUGCUGCAUAGCAUUGAGGUCUAUGGAAGAUCCCGUGAGAUCCUUCAUUGGGAGAGCCAAUUCACUGCAACAGUCAUUGGUGACGACUAGGUGAUUGACACUUUUUGAUGAUAGCAACCCCACCCAAUGUCAAAAAGUGUCAACCGAAGGAAAAACACUGACAUCUGUCUCGGUAUAUGUUUUGACUAGGUUGAAAUUUAAGUGAAAUUCCAACCAAGUCAAUAUGAGUAUUUUAAAAUUGAUCUUUUAUACAAUACUUUUUUUGUAUGUGGGAGGGGUAAGGAAGAGACAGUGUCGCUUUAAGGUUGAAAAGAAAGGGGGUGCAGGAGGGAACUGGUCCUAAUGACUGGGAUCCUGGACAGUGCAACAUUUGAAAUCUGUGUAUAUUUUAUGGUCCCCUCAUCAUAUAUACUUGUUGGCUUCCAGCAUGCCUACUAAGAUACAUGAUAUAAUUAAAAUACACUUAUAGCGUUAAGGAUGAUUUAAUGGAUAACAACAAUUUUUAUUGUAAGUUGUGUAUCACACUCCUUUUAGCACAGACAUAUCUGCCACAUUAGACUUCUUAAUAGACAGAGUGGUUGUCAUCUUGUUGUAUAUAAAUGUAGGAAAAUUUACUGAAUUUAAAUGCACAAAAAAAAAAAAAAAAUCUGAGUUUUGCACCUUUUUUCUUUGGAAUUUAUGCCUGUCCUGGUCAAUCUGUAGCUUGUACAAUUACCGAAAAUGAUCAUUAAAAAGUAAAAUCUGAAUGAAUGACUCUGUAGUUGCUACUAAUUGUUUAUUUUACUUUUUGUUUUAUGUACAUGUGAUUACUGUUUUAAAUAACAUUAAAUGUUCCCUUAGGAUGUUAUAUGAAUCAUUCCAUAAAUACAGAGAUAUGUAUAUGAUUUUGUGUUUAUACGAUUUUAUUAAUAUGUAAAUAUAUAGAUAUUUUUAAAUUGCUAUCUUUGUGGGGGGUUUUUGUUUUUAAUUUGUACCAAAAAAGGACUUUUGACACGAGUGUCAAACAUUGUGUUGUGUUAUGAGUUUCUGG
Molecule: non-coding RNA, 5085 nt
Organism: Pelobates cultripes (western spadefoot toad)
Lineage: Eukaryota; Metazoa; Chordata; Amphibia; Anura; Pelobatidae
Source: the annotation of a GenBank genome assembly